UUACGCCAUGUUAAUCACUUUGGGGCAGAAAGUCGAGCAAUUUCCGGGAUAAGCCAAAGCAGUCACCCUGGCGGGUCAACGGGUGGCGCUCGUGUGCAAAACAAGCAGCGGUAGAAGAAGGUUGGCCCGGAUUGGCCCACGUGACGUCAGGCUAGCAAAUGAAUUGGAGUCAGGUGUGCGGGAGGAAUUUAAUCGAGCGCGGUGCACAGCUGCGGCAAGAUGGCGACCGAGCGAGCACACGAGCAAAUGUUUGUCGCUUGUCGUCCUUUCUCGCGAUGUCCUUUUGUUUGUUCCCCGAUUUGCAGCGUAGGUGGUGGGACUGCAGGACGCCACGACCCGUUCGCCUUUCCCUUGAUGUCGUGCAUUGUGCUCUUCGUUUCUCUUGCCGCGUUUUCAACUUUUGGGGGGUUUGUUUUAAAGCUGGCCAGCUUUUUUUGGGGGGGGGGGGGGGGGUUGUUUUAAAUUGUUGCAAAUGACAAAACCGAUGUCUUUGUGAAUUGAACAAUGAAAGGUUUGGGUUUGUGUGUUUGACCAAAUGUUUGAACGUUUUCUCUCGGGUGGUACGCACUUAUUUAUCCGAUUCAUGUAAAUGUUUGGGGUUUUUUUUCCCUUCAGCCAAUAUGAGGAAGCCCAAUUGCAUGUCUAACCCCCUCCCCCCCCCCUUGCAGGUUAUUCACCAAUGUUCUAUAAACGUGAAUAUUAUUGUGGAAGCCUGAAUCGCUUCACGAAUGCACAUUUUCAGCGCUUUCUGCUCCCAACACAGCCCAAAGUCCAUCUUCAUUCGUCCACUUGCGGGCUGCGAGAGGCAACAAGAUCCAUGAGGCGAGAGUAAGAGAACCAACGGUUUGAGUCGUGAGACCUGCAGAACCCGAGUGUUUUUCAUUUUAUUUGUUUUUUUUGGGACAGGAUGCGCCAGCGAAAUAGAGCAGCAUGAAGACGAGUAGAAGAGGAGCCCAAUGAAUUGGAAGAGUGUGCAGAGGGCUCACAUGGAGCUGAAUGGAAUGAGAACAAGGAGCAGUUCCACAAGCGAAGCGAGCGGCGCACCGAUGAGGAUCAUCCGUCUGCGGGCUGCCUGAAAAUGCUGAACAGGAGGGGCCAAAGUAUUGAGCUUUGCGGUGUGCCUCGUGCUCGGCGUGGGUUGUCAAUAUCCGAUGUUUGGAGCCGGCGGUGGAAUCUGUCUUUGUGGGGACUCGAGUGCUCUUUGGCAAGGCGUGUUGCUGGUCAGCUAGUUGUUUGGCUUUUCUAGAUCCAGAGCAACUUUGUGGCGUUUGUCAGUUGGGAAGCUGCUUUGUGGGCGACAGUGUAGGCAGGCUCGUUUUGCCGGAUGAAGGAAGGGUCGAAAUGUCAUCAAACACACGGCCAAUGAAUGUGUGAGUGGUGUCUAACUGUCCCCCCCCUCUUUCAGGGCUCUGACAUGGAUGUGAUCCGGAAGAAGGACCACUUGCUCUCGUCGAAGGGGCUCCAAGCGUUCCCAAACGAGAGACGCGGAGGCCAUGGCACUGGGAGAGUGAAAAGCCAAACCGACAGGGGCAGAGUAUGUCGACGUACCGCUCGGGUGUUUGUCGCCGCCGCUCUCACUAACUCACUGGGUGUGCACUCACUAACGCCAAAGCAUGAUGAGGAUUUGGGACUGAGCCUGCUGCGGUCAAGGCCGUCAGCCUCUCAACGACCAAUUCAAUAAAA
Long non-coding RNA from Hippocampus zosterae (dwarf seahorse), 1683 nucleotides. RefSeq lists it as uncharacterized. NCBI's taxonomy places the organism in Eukaryota, Metazoa, Chordata, Actinopteri, Syngnathiformes, Syngnathidae. The transcript has 3 exons. The record is from RefSeq and is a predicted model, not a curated record.